Molecule: long non-coding RNA, 2003 nt
Organism: Bubalus bubalis (water buffalo)
Lineage: Eukaryota; Metazoa; Chordata; Mammalia; Artiodactyla; Bovidae
Exons: 2
Source: RefSeq, a predicted model, not a curated record
AGAACUGCCCGGCGGCCUCUUCUGCUCAUGUGCCGUUGCCAGUGCGCUACCUACCGUGCUUUCCAGUUUUCUGCCUAGUCUGUGCUCCAGUUCUGUAGGCUGUUCCGGGGAAAGAGUCUUGCAGCGUCCGGAACCCGCCUUUCCGCGGUCACCUGGGCGAAGCGGGUGCACCCGCAAGUUAAAGGGUUGGCAGGGAGCUCCAAGCCCUCGGGGCUGGGGGCGAAGGGCUGGGCGGAGCUGGCCUUGGUCCGCGGAGAGUGGACGCGCUCUCUGCCAGCAUCCCUUCCCUGAGCUUUGAUGUCAUCAUUCUUGGUUCCCUUCUUCGAAGAUGAACAAAUCCCAGGUAAGUUGUUUAGGGAUUUACUUCCCACGUUUUGGAGUGGAUCUCAAGAAAUUUGAGAAAUGGAGUUGGUCAUGGAUAGAUCAUGCCUGCUUGAUGAUGCUGCCUGCAUAAAAAUCCCAACAGAAUGGGGUUUGGAGAGCUUCCAAGUAGAGUUGCUGGUUGAAUGACAGGCCCAGAAACCCCAGGCCCCUUCCCACAUACCUUGCCCUACACAUCUCUUCCAUCUGAAUGUUCAUCUGUAUCCCUAUUUUCCUUUUACAAUAAGCUGUUCACCUGAGUUGCUCUAGCAACUUGCUCAAGCAAGUUCUGUGAAUUUCUCAGGCAAACUCUAGCAGGGAGUGGGGUGUGGUCAGAGGAACUUCUGAUUUAGAGCCAAACUACCAAAGCACACUUAAACUUGGGAUUUGAAGUUAGGGAUGAGGGGCAGUCUUUUGGGAUUUGGGUCCUUAACCUGUGGUAUCUGACACAAUCCCCAGGUAGAUAGUCAGAACUGGGCUGAAUUAUGACCCCCAAGCAAUAUCACAGAAUGGCUUGGUGUGGGAAAACCCCCCACAUAUCUGGUGCAAGGAGUGUCAGUGUGGUGGUAGUGAGAGAGUAAAGGAGAACACAGGUGAACUGAGUUUUUCCUGCACGCGGGGGUUAAGACUUAAUGUAUCUUUCAUCGGGGGCCAGGGGGUAGCUCACGUCAACACCCUGUUGGAUUCUAUCCUCAAAUGUGUGACAGUGAAAACUCAAUUUAAAUAAGGAAUUAAUUAUUAAAAGCAAAAAGAAAAAGUUGCACACACAAAGUUAGUGUUUAGAUGACAUUUUAAAUCUCUAUAUAAGCAUUUCUUGCUCUCUUUCCAUUUAUCAUACCAACAACUCUUAUUAUUUUCUUAAACAGUAGAAAUAUCUUAUGUGGUUUUAAUGUUAAAAUCCAAUAGGAAAUUUUUUCAGCUGAAACUUUCCAAUGAGAAUGUCUUGAAUGGCCUAACUUUUGCAUAAUGGCUAUUUCCUGUUUUUAUUUUCUAACUUUUUCCUUUUUCGUGUAAUUAGAGACUUAAGAUUUAUAGUGAUUAUUCCCAGGAAUCAUGGCAACAGAUAUUAAAAAGUUGCCAUUUCCUUCUCCAGGGAUCGAACCCAGGUCUCCCACAUUGCAGGCAGAUGCUUUAACCUCUGAGCCACCAGGAAAGCCACCCCCCGCCUCAAAAAAGACAUUUAUUGGAAUCUAGGUUUCUAUUGAAUCUGUUAGCAAAUUUGGAAUACUAGACUUUUUAGAACAAGCUGUUUGGUUAAGCUUCUUUCUUUCCUCCUUAUAAUAUAGACUCCAGAGUUAAGAGCCAUGUUGGAAAUUCUUAAUAUAUUUUAAACACAUAGAAUAGUUCCCAUUUAAUUUGACUCUAAACCAGAAUUUUAAAGACCGAAGGAGUAAUUGCCCAAUUUUCCCCUCCUUAUCCCAAUAACCAUUUUACAUUUUCAUAAUUGCAUUGAUCACAUUUAUUUUAUACUCAUCUUUUAAACAUAUUCAGUUGCAUUUUCAUUGUAUAUAACUCAACAGACACAUAAUUUUAUAGGUUAUUUGCAAAAAGUGAGCUUAUGUCCAUACCCUUUCUUAGAGAUUAAAAAAAAAAAAGCACAUAAGGAAUGAACAUGGGAUGAGGAGCUGCCUCCAAUGAUUACA